This 439-nucleotide ribosomal RNA is filed under the name uncultured bacterium. RNAcentral's name for it is "bacterial SSU rRNA". It matches the Rfam family "Bacterial small subunit ribosomal RNA", at positions 337 to 793 of the family's 1533-position model. The record is from RNAcentral.
UCCUACGGGAGGCAGCAGUGGGGAAUAUUGCACAAUGGGCGAAAGCCUGAUGCAGCAACGCCGCGUGGAGGAUGAAGGCCUUCGGGUUGUAAACUCUUGUCUUCUGGGACGAUAAUGACGGUACCAGAGGAGGAAGCCACGGCUAACUACGUGCCAGCAGCCGCGGUAAUACGUAGGUGGCAAGCGUUGUCCGGAUUUACUGGGCGUAAAGGAUGCGUAGGCGGAUAUUUAAGUGGGAUGUGAAAUACCUGGGCUCAACCUGGGUGCUGCAUUCCAAACUGGAUAUCUAGAGUGCGGGAGAGGAAAGUGGAAUUCCUAGUGUAGCGGUGAAAUGCGUAGAGAUUAGGAAGAACACCAGUGGCGAAGGCGACUUUCUGGACCGUAACUGACGCUGAGGCAUGAAAGCGUGGGGAGCAAACAGGAUUAGAUACCCUGGUAG